This 433-nucleotide ribosomal RNA is filed under the name uncultured bacterium. Its description in RNAcentral is "partial 16S ribosomal RNA". It matches the Rfam family "Bacterial small subunit ribosomal RNA", at positions 29 to 507 of the family's 1533-position model. The record is from RNAcentral.
AACGAACGCUGGCGGCAUGCCUAACACAUGCAAGUCGAACGAGACCUUCGGGUCUAGUGGCUCACGGGUGCGUAACGCGUGGGAACCUGCCCUUAGGUUCGGAAUAACUCCCCGAAAGGGGUGCUAAUACCGGAUAAUGUCUUCGGACCAAAGAUUUAUCGCCUUUGGAUGGGCCCGCGUUGGAUUAGCUAGUUGGUAGGGUAAAAGCCUACCAAGGCGACGAUCCAUAGCUGGUCUGAGAGGAUGAUCAGCCACACUGGGACUGAGACACGGCCCAGACUCCUACGGGAGGCAGCAGUGGGGAAUAUUAGACAAUGGGCGAAAGCCUGAUCCAGCAAUGCCGCGUGAGUGAUGAAGGCCUUAGGGUUGUAAAGCUCUUUUACCCGGGAUGAUAAUGACAGUACCGGGAGAAUAAGCUCCGGCUAACUCCGUG